AGAGUUUGAUCCUGGCUCAGGAUGAACGCUAGCGGCAGGCCUAAUACAUGCAAGUCGAACGGUGUAGCAAUACAUAGUGGCGCACGGGUGCGUAACACGUAUGCAACCUACCUUAUACUGGGGGAUAGCCUUUGGAAACGGAGAUUAAUACCCCAUAGUACAUUUGAUUGGCAUCAAUUAAAUGUUAAAGAUUUAUCGGUAUAAGCUGGGCAUGCGUCCAAUUAGUUAGUUGGUGAGGUAAUGGCUCACCAAGACUUUGAUUGGUAGGGGAACUGAGAGGUUAAUCCCCCACACUGGCACUGAGAUACGGGCCAGACUCCUACGGGAGGCAGCAGUAGGGAAUAUUGGGCAAUGGAGGCAACUCUGACCCAGCCAUGCCGCGUGCAGGAAGAAGGCGUUAUGCGUUGUAAACUGCUUUUAUAUAGGAAGAAAUAGUCCUUGCGAGGAAAGUGACGGUACUAUA
Molecule: ribosomal RNA, 463 nt
Filed under: uncultured Arcicella sp.
Lineage: Bacteria; Pseudomonadati; Bacteroidota; Cytophagia; Cytophagales; Flectobacillaceae
Description: bacterial SSU rRNA
Rfam family: Bacterial small subunit ribosomal RNA
Source: RNAcentral